GAGUGUAUAGCUCAGUGGUAGAGCGCAUGGCUUAGCAUGCAUGAGGUCCUGCGUUCGAUCCCCAGUCCCUCCA
Molecule: transfer RNA, 73 nt
Organism: Camelus ferus (Wild Bactrian camel)
Lineage: Eukaryota; Metazoa; Chordata; Mammalia; Artiodactyla; Camelidae
Rfam family: tRNA
About the family: Transfer RNA (tRNA) molecules are approximately 80 nucleotides in length.
Source: Rfam